Long non-coding RNA from Drosophila virilis, 1586 nucleotides. RefSeq lists it as uncharacterized. The record is from RefSeq and is a predicted model, not a curated record. NCBI's taxonomy places the organism in Eukaryota, Metazoa, Arthropoda, Insecta, Diptera, Drosophilidae.
AACACUGUUGCCGUUUUAACAGUCUUUGCCAGCGGCUAAUUUUCGUUUAUUUAAAAAAGAAAGAAAAACAAUGACAUAAAGUUAAGACCUUGCGUUACAAAACCGUUGAUUGUAUCAAAUCAUUACCAACAUUUUGGACAACAGAUAUCAUUUUGAAUACACGUAAAUGUAUGCAAAAGCUAGAAAUAAGCAAGAAACAAAAAGAAAAAACACACACACACACACAAAAACCAAAACAUAUACUUAACGAUGUGAAAAUGUGCAAAACAAAGCAUUUGCUUAAAUACCAGCAAUUAGGCACGCACCCGCACAAGAAAAACAUUGUCUUUGCGAAUUGGCCACAUUCAAGUGACAUUUCAAUGGAGUCGCCAAAUGAUUUAAUUAAACAACAAUUUUUAAGCACACAUGAGAAAUGUCAAUGCCCAGCGGAAACUUGAUUCGGCCAACAAGCCACCACCUUGGCAUUUAAAAUGUGGCAAAGUGCAAAAAACAAGCUGCACAACAGGAAGAUCGAAAAACAAAAUAUAAAAAAAAAGACCGUUCAAAUUUCUUAAUAGAAGCGCCAAAAGCCUCUAAAAUAAAGCAACAAAAAACUCGAAACAAAAAUAAACAAGUCGCAGCCACAGAUUAAAUGUUAAUAGUAACGGGCUCUCCACACUCGUGAAGCCGGGCAACAGCAAACAGAAAAACCGGAUUUGUGGCACAGAACAAUGCGCGCAUAAAUCUCGCGGCACAGUUUGAAUGCAAUUUACCAAAGCGCCGAAUGAGCGAUUGUCAGGGAUUAACGACAUAGCCUCAGCCGCAGCAACAGAUGCUGGCUGCAGCCAAGUGGACAGAAGUGAAGCCGCUGGCUGUAAUAAUCAAAUCAAAACUUGACAUUGUCUGAUGGCGCUUGCUGAUUUAAUAAAAAGGAAGCAACCGCAUGAGAGCGAGAAAGGAGGCUCCCCCCUCCAUAUUAACGCAUAUUAAGUGGCACAUUGUGUAAUGUGUGGCACAUGCAAAGACAUUGCCACAUCUGCGGCUCCAACAUACACAACGAUCCUACGUGACAUGCAGUGAAAGUUAAUUUGGCGAAAAAUUAUGAAAUGAAAUGUGCUUUCCUUUCGAGUUGCCAUUGCCAGCGCAUUGUCUGCUUGGGUCGGAAAUAAAAACCAGCAGCACACUCGGCGUCUACAAGGUUAAUAAAUACAUCCGAUAAAAAGGCGGCGCAGAAAAUCCACUUAAUCAAAUUAAGUAACUGCUCUCUAACGGCGGCUGCCCUGCAAUGCCCAGCAAAUUGGCGGAUAAGGCACAAUUCGCUGGCUCAUUGUUUGGUGCUCAAGUUUAGAAAGGCCACGGCUCUUGGAAAGGUACACCAAAAAGAGUGCUCCAUAUGCUGCACAGGUGGUUUGUUUAGUUAAUUUUAUGUCUAAAAGUUUAUUAAACAUGCCUCGUGCACACAUAGCACAUUGUUGUGUGGAGUUUCUUUUGAACGUGCAUGUAAAAGUUGAAUUUCAAAUGUGUAUUUUUGUUUUUGUUAUUGGUGUUUUGCUGCAGCCAAAUCACUGGGUUUUGGUCAUUGCAGUUAUGUGUAUGUGUAUGGUUGG